RNAcentral lists this ribosomal RNA (510 nucleotides) under uncultured bacterium. RNAcentral's name for it is "bacterial SSU rRNA". It matches the Rfam family "Bacterial small subunit ribosomal RNA", at positions 15 to 518 of the family's 1533-position model. The record is from RNAcentral.
GAUUAUGGCUCAGGAUGAACGCUAGCGGCAGGCUUAACACAUGCAAGUCGAGGGGCAGCGGGUUGUAGCAAUACAAUGCCGGCGACCGGCGAAAGGGUGAGUAACGCGUGAGCAACAUGCCCGAUAGUGGAGGAUAGUCGAUGGAAACGUCGCGUAAUACUCCGUAACAUACGGGACCGCAUGAUUCUGUAUUAAUAGAUCUAUUGCUAUCGGAUUGGCUCGCGUACCAUUAGCUAGUUGGCGGGGUAACGGCCCACCAAGGCGACGAUGGUUAGGGGUUCUGAGAGGAAGGUCCCCCACAUUGGAACUGAGACACGGUCCAGACUCCUACGGGAGGCAGCAGUGAGGAAUAUUGGACAAUGGCCGGAAGGCUGAUCCAGCCAUGCCGCGUGCGGGAAAGACGGCCCUAUGGGUUGUAAACCGCUUUUGUUGGGGAGCAAUAAGGGUCACGUGUGGCCUGAUGAGAGUACCCAGCGAAUAAGCAUCGGCUAACUCCGUGCCAGCAGCGGC